GGAAGGAUCAUUAACGAACUGUCAAACAUGGGUUGUUGCUGGCCCCCAAACGGGGCAUGUGCACGCUCUGUUUACACAUCCACUCACACCUGUGCACCCUUUGUAGUUCUGUGGAUGGGGAGACGCCGUCUUCCUUCUGUGGCUCUACGUCUUUACACACACACCGUAGCAACGUCUCAUGGAAUGUUUUUUCGCGUUUAACGCAAUACAAUACAACUUUCAGCAACGGAUCUCUUGGCUCUCGCAUCGAUGAAGAACGCAGCGAAAUGCGAUAAGUAAUGUGAAUUGCAGAAUUCAGUGAAUCAUCGAAUCUUUGAACGCACCUUGCGCCCCUUGGUUAUUCCUCGGGGCAUGCCUGUUUGAGUAUCAUGAACACCUCAACUCUCACGGUCUUCUGUGAUGAGCUUGGACUUUGGGGGUUUGCCGGCCCUGUGGCCGGCUCCUCUCAAAUGAAUCAGCUUGCCAGUGUUUGGUGGCAUCACGGGUGUGAUAACUAUCUACGCUCGCGAUCGUCUGCCAGGUAACCCUCAGCGAUGAAGGUUCAUUGGAGCUCAUAAACGUCUCUCCCCAGCGAGGACAGCUUUUGAACGUUCGAUCUCAAAUCAGGUAGGACUACCCGCUGAACUUAAGCAUAUCAAUA
Molecule: small RNA, 640 nt
Filed under: uncultured fungus
Lineage: Eukaryota; Fungi
Description: eukaryotic LSU rRNA
Rfam family: 5.8S ribosomal RNA (bases 215-369)
Source: RNAcentral